AGCUUUUUGAAUCCGUGCUGAGAUUUCGUCAGACACCAACCCGUUUGGGCUGAUCAAACUUCCAAGAUAAGUGAAGUU
Molecule: non-coding RNA, 78 nt
Organism: Schistosoma haematobium
Lineage: Eukaryota; Metazoa; Platyhelminthes; Trematoda; Strigeidida; Schistosomatidae
Source: Rfam